Molecule: long non-coding RNA, 3314 nt
Organism: Apis laboriosa (Himalayan honeybee)
Lineage: Eukaryota; Metazoa; Arthropoda; Insecta; Hymenoptera; Apidae
Exons: 4
Source: RefSeq, a predicted model, not a curated record
ACCACUUUUCUCCCGCUCUAUGAGCAGAUCCGUGUGUUCCAUUCGAGCGUGUGCUGUGCCCCGUCAUUGUGUGCACAAGAAUCUGCAUGCGCACGUAUAUAUACGUAUACAAAGAUGGAGGGAACGCUCGUACUGGAGCGUGCAAUGCACACUAGCACGAUAGGUGGUAGGACCCGGAGGAUGAGGCCUUCCUUGGCUCCGAAGAAGGUACCGCUAUCGCCCUCUGACCUCUCGAGGCGAGCGAACGAGGCCUCCUUCCACCGGUAAUUUUGCCUUCGGUCCCGGCUUCCUGGUGCUACCCAGAUCUAGAUCAUCGAAAAUCGAAGACGAGGGUCUCCCCGGUUUCGCGAGAAGAGAGAGCCUCGCGCUCUUCACGCUAAGGACGAGCGUACCGGAUCGAUCUAACCGGCGAGACUCCCUCGAGGAGUCUUGCACGCGAUAUUCCGAUCGCCAAGAGAUCCACAGAGUAGAUAGUCUGCUUCUGUUGUCUUGUAUCCUUUUUUUUUCCCCCCUCUCGUCCACCCGUGCUCUCUCGAAAUAUCUCGGAAGAGAGUUCUAUUAAGCCCCUUCUCGCGGUGGUUUGGGUGAAAAAAGAUAAACAAGAUAAAAAUAUUCUCCGAGCCGAUUUUCACACGAAUUCAAAGACGCGACAUAAAUUGGGUGUAUCUAUGACGCCGAUCACCCAUAACAUUUCAUCGCUAUCUCAUAUCUCUCUUGUUCAUAGACGCAAACGCUUGGAUAACGCUUGGAAUCAAUUCAACGAUGCCACGCGUGGAAAGUAAAUGUCCAUCGGAUUUUAAUGGGAUGGAUACACACUAUGAAUGGAGGUUUUACCUGGAAAACGGAAAUCGAUCGAUCGAAGCAGGAGGUGAUUCGCAGACUUUUCCCCGUGGGAAUGGAACAUUUACGAAGUGGCGUGGAGCAGAAGCACUCGCAUUCCGAGGUAAAUAGCGAGCGAGCCGGCCGGUGCAACAAAAACAUCGGACGUUAGGCGAAUUCGAGAUGAGAAACCGUUCCUUUCGAGAGAGAAUUAUUCAAAUUGCCGAUGAACCCGCCAGUUGGAACACUGUUCCACGGCGAGCACUGUAACAAGUACGUAGAAGCGGCGGGCUGUUCGCGCGCGCGCGCGGCUACUCGAGAACAACUCGAAACGAGGAGCUCUGCAGGAAAUAAUGUCGUGGGAUUGUUUCGCGCGCUAUCAAGGUUUCACCGGCUCGUUUCGAGGCCACACGUCCCUCUGGAUGUUGAAUAAAUGAACGUGCCUUGGAAUAUCGCGGAGGAAACGAUGCUUUGACGGAUCGUAAAUCGGAUAAACCGUGUAAACAGACAUACCUAGGACGCUUUAUAGAAACGAGGAAGAUGGUUAUAGAUGAACUAUAAUUAUCCAAAAGUUCAGAUUCAAUGACGUGAAAUUGAAUAUUCGGAUCGAGGAAGAAGAACUCGGAGAGAGAAAGAGAGAAAGAGAGAGAGAGACUCGAGGAUGAUGUUGACUCAUUUACGUGUACACGGUGAUCGCGGAUCGGCUCGAUGACUAAUCCCGAUCCGGACAAGGGUAACCACUUUCAAGCAAUACCGAAAUAACGGUCAUCGGCGGGAAGGCAAAUUAACCUGGCCGACUUCGAGCGACCGCUACCGUGGAAAAAAAUCGGAAAUCACAAUGGUCGAUCCUUAAACGGUCGCGCGGCAUUUAAUUUCACUCGGCCCUCGUCGUUUUCACCGUACAAUUCCGAUCGUCGAUCGUUCCGACGAGCCGCGAACAAAGAGAGGAUCUUUGGAUAAAUAGCAGCCGUGCUCGUCCUCCGGUUUCCGCCACGAUUUAACGGGAGUUAAUACUGUAACAAGGACAACGAUUUCAUAUAAUUUCUUUAUUCUGUCUACGAUCGGUGUGUGUAUGUGUGUGUGUGUGUGUAUGCGCGGUGAGAAAUUUAAAUCGAAACGUUGAAGGAACGAUCGAUAAUUAUUCCAAUUUUAUAGAUUUUAUUGAAAAGAUUCGAAGCAUACGUAUAUUUUAUAACAAUUGCAUCGUGUUAUCGAGCUACUUUCCGAGACCGUAUCUCAUUUAAGAUUACGAGGUGAAAAAAUGGCCGUCUUAUGCAAUCUUGAACAAGACUUUAUCAUCCUGUAUUAUCGAGGCGGUUUUAUAAAAUUCGUUUUUACCUCGAACCAAUUAACUGGCGAAUUUAUUAUUAUCUUCCGAAUAUUCUUCCGAACGCGAUCCGAAAUAUAAUCAAAAGCAUCCUUUUCUUAACGCAUGUAUACACGCCUCGCAUCGAUAUUAAAAAUAAAUGGCGUUUAAGAAAGCCGUACCGAUACUCGAACCCGAUAAAUAAGAACUUUAACUUUCCCGUUCUAAAAGUCAGCAAGGGAAUUAAUAAUCGCGAUCGCGUAAAACGUAAUUAAAAGCGAAGAAUAUAACCAAUUUUCGGCUUGACGAGCCUCCUCUCGGGGCUAAGUACGAUCAAAUUAGCGUCCACCCGGUUUCGGUUUAUUUAUUUCCGGUCGACCGUUCGCGCGAAGAAUUCCCAGGCGAAGGUGGGGCAAGAAAUGGCUUCGUAUCUCGUCCGGUAAGCGAUCAUCGUUGCCUCGGGUCGCACGAUUAAGGACGCCAUUCCACUUCGUCUCCGCCUCGCGACCGGAGAGAAGAGAGAAUCUUGAAAAACCACGGCCACGGCCGAGUGUCAUCGCUGCCAGGUAGAAGAUAAAAUCGGCCAAUCUACGUACGAAACCAUCCUCCCCUCUUCUAUUCCUCUCUCUUUCGAAAGGUGAACCGAUAAAAGGCGGUUUAUACGAGCGCGUUACGAAGAAAAGGGCGGCGGCGAAGAGAGGGAAAGGGGGAGAGGGAAAAGAAGGCGAGGAGGAUCCCGAAAAGAACGAAAGAGAACGGCCGUUCGUUUUAAUCGCUAAUCGCCAAUUACCUGGGGCGCCCCAAACCCCCACAAGCAUUUUAACGAGCCGCCGUGUCGCCCGGCCCGGAAUUUUACUCUUCUGGACGCUCGGCUUCCAAGUCGUCCACCGACGAUUUCGGACCCCGCAACGUUCGCCGUAUCUCUCCCCUCGCCGUAUCUCUCCUCUCCCUUUAACCUGUUUCCCUUCCACCUUUCUUUGCUCCGUCCCUCGCGCUACGAUUCGAGCCUCUAACGUUCGAGCGUGUGCGUAUGCGCGCGCGUAUACAAUUAGCGCAUACUUGGACGCGCGGUGUGUGUGUGAGCGCGGGUUAAACGGUCGAUUUCGGUGUUCGAAACAGAGAUCGCGGAAUCGUUUCCAGAGAACGUUCGAAGAGAAGAGGAAUUAUCGCGGUUCCUGGAUGGCUGGAG